AUUGAACGCUGGCGGCAUGCUUUACACAUGCAAGUCGAACGGCAGCGCGGGCUUCGGCCUGGCGGCGAGUGGCGAACGGGUGAGUAAUGCAUCGGAACGUGCCCAGUAGUGGGGGAUAGCCCGGCGAAAGCCGGAUUAAUACCGCAUACGACCUGAGGGUGAAAGCGGGGGACCGAAAGGCCUCGCGCUAUUGGAGCGGCCGAUGUCGGAUUAGCUAGUUGGUGGGGUAAAGGCUUACCAAGGCGACGAUCCGUAGCUGGUCUGAGAGGACGACCAGCCACACUGGAACUGAGACACGGCCCAGACUCCUACGGGAGGCAGCAGUGGGGAAUUUUGGACAAUGGGGGCAACCCUGAUCCAGCCAUGCCGCGUGCGGGAAGAAGGCCUUCGGGUUGUAAACCGCUUUUGUUCGGGAAGAAAUCCUCUGGGCUAAUACCCCGAGGGGAUGACGGUACCGGAAGAAUAAGCACCGGCUAACUACGUG
Molecule: ribosomal RNA, 484 nt
Filed under: uncultured bacterium
Lineage: Bacteria
Description: partial 16S ribosomal RNA
Rfam family: Bacterial small subunit ribosomal RNA
Source: RNAcentral